RNAcentral lists this ribosomal RNA (443 nucleotides) under uncultured bacterium. RNAcentral's name for it is "partial 16S ribosomal RNA". It matches the Rfam family "Bacterial small subunit ribosomal RNA", at positions 338 to 795 of the family's 1533-position model. The record is from RNAcentral.
CCUACGGGGGGCAGCAGUGGGGGAUAUUGGACAAUGGGGGAAACCCUGAUCCAGCGACGCCGCGUGAGUGAAGAAGUAUUUCGGUAUGUAACGCUCUGUCAGCAGGGAAGAAAGAAAUGAUGGUACCUGACCAAGAAGCCCCGGCUAACUACGUGCCAGCAGCCGCGGUAAUACGUAGGGGGCAAGCGUUAUCCGUAAUUACUGGGUGUAAAGGGAGCGUAGACGGUGAUGCAAGUCUGUAGUGAAAGGCGGGGGCCCAACCCCCGGACUGCUCUGGAAACUGUGUUACUUGAGUGCAGGAGAGGUAAGCGGAAUUCCUAGUGUAGCGGUGAAAUGCGUAGAUAUUAGGAGGAACACCAGUGGCGAAGGCGGCUUACUGGACUGUAACUGACGUUGAGGCUCGAAAGCGUGGGGAGCAAACAGGAUUAGAUACCCGUGUAGUC